CAGUAGCCGCGGGAAAACGUAGGGUGCAAGCGUUAAUCGGAAUUACUGGGCGUAAAGCGUGCGCAGGCGGUGAUGUAAGACAGUUGUGAAAUCCCCGGGCUCAACCUGGGAACUGCAUCUGUGACUGCAUCGCUGGAGUGCGGCAGAGGGGGAUGGAAUUCCGCGUGUAGCAGUGAAAUGCGUAGAUAUGCGGAGGAACACCGAUGGCGAAGGCAAUCCCCUGGGCCUGCACUGACGCUCAUGCACGAAAGCGUGGGGAGCAAACAGGAUUAGAUACCCGAGUAGUCCCUGUCUCUUAUAA
Molecule: ribosomal RNA, 301 nt
Filed under: uncultured bacterium
Lineage: Bacteria
Description: partial 16S ribosomal RNA
Rfam family: Bacterial small subunit ribosomal RNA
Source: RNAcentral